CCUACGGGUGGCAGCAGUGGGGAAUAUUGCGCAAUGGGCGAAAGCCUGACGCAGCGACGCCGCGUGAGGGAUGAAGGUCUUCGGAUCGUAAACCUCUGUCAGCAGGGAAGAACGGUCACUGUGCUAAUCAGCAGUGAAUUGACGGUACCUGCAAAGGAAGCACCGGCUAACUCCGUGCCAGCAGCCGCGGUAAUACGGAGGGUGCGAGAGGUAAUCGGAAUUACUGGGCAUAAAGCGCUCGUAGGCGGUAUGUCAAGUCAAGGGUGAAAUCCCCGCGCUCAACGUGGGAACUGCCGUUGAAACUGGCAGACUGGAGUGUGUGAGAGGAUAGUGGAAUUCCAGGUGUAGGAGUGAAAUCCGUAGAUAUCUGGAGGAACAUCAGUGGCGAAGGCGACUAUCUGGCACAUAACUGACGCUGAGGAGCGAAAGCGUGGGUAGCAAACAGGAUUAGAUACCCCAGUAGUC
Molecule: ribosomal RNA, 465 nt
Filed under: uncultured bacterium
Lineage: Bacteria
Description: partial 16S ribosomal RNA
Rfam family: Bacterial small subunit ribosomal RNA
Source: RNAcentral